CCUACGGGCGACAGCAGUGAGGAAUAUUGGUCAAUGGACGCAAGUCUGAACCCGCCAUGCCGCGUGCAGGAAGACGGCCCUAUGAGUUGUAAACUGCUUUUGUACGAGGGUAAACGCAGAUACGCGUAUCUGUCUGAAAGUAUCUUAAGAAUAAGGAUCGGCUAACUCCGUGCCAGCAGCCGCGGUAAUACGGAGGAUUCAAGCGUUAUCCGGAUUUAUUGGGUUUAAAGGGUGCGUAGGCGGUCGGAUAAGUUAGAGGUGAAAUCCCGAGGCUCAACUUCGGAAUUGCCUCUGAUACUGUUCGGCGAGAGAGUAGGUGCGGUAGGCGGAAUGUAUGGUGUAGCGGUGAAAUGCUUAGAGAUCACACAGAACACCGAUUGCGAAGGCAGCUUACCAAGCUACUUCUGACGUUGAGGCACGAAAGCGUGGGGAGAAAACAGGAUUAGAUACCCCAGUAGUC
This 460-nucleotide ribosomal RNA is filed under the name uncultured bacterium. RNAcentral describes it as "partial 16S ribosomal RNA". It matches the Rfam family "Bacterial small subunit ribosomal RNA", at positions 338 to 795 of the family's 1533-position model. The record is from RNAcentral.